RNAcentral lists this long non-coding RNA (1257 nucleotides) under Gallus gallus (chicken). Its description in RNAcentral is "lncRNA (ENSGALG00010007397.1)". Lineage: Eukaryota; Metazoa; Chordata; Aves; Galliformes; Phasianidae. The record is from RNAcentral.
CAUUUCUUCAUUGAUUUAUGCUCAGCUUUCAGUUCCACAGAUCUGUGAGUCUGCUGUGUAAGAAGGGGCUGUUGCUGGGACCAGCAUCACCAGGGAGAUGGAGCCUGGGGCUCUGCCUACCCAAAUCCUCACUUGUUGGAUGGACCAUGCCCAAAUUCUGCUUCUGGAAAAGAAAAGGGGGGGUUCAGCAAGGAGUGGGAACCCUCCUACUGGAAAUUUUGUGAAGUCUGCAAAAGACUUUGCUCUCCAUCAAAGGUGCUACAGAAGAUAUUGUGUAAUGAGCUGAUGAGAUCAAGGCAUCUCACCCCCUGGCAACACUUUAAUUGUGCUUUCUAACAAGUUUAGAUCAUUGGGAUAAAUCCCUUUCAUCUUUCUCCUAGGUCAGAUUUAAUCCAAUCCUGUAGGGUUCUCAUGCUUCCCUUAAGCUAGUUCUAUGCAGACUUUGCAGUGGCUGAUGAGCAACAGGGAAGACAAACUCCCUGGCCACAUGCUCAUUCCCAUAGCCUGGAGGAAGGCCCAGGCAUAUGGACCCAUGUGGACAUAACUAUUUCUCAGCCCAGUACACUCUCUCUCUUGAUGUCUCUCCAGUCUGCUUGUAGCGACUCAAGCCUCCACAAGCACAGAGAAGAGCCCAACAUCCAUUGAGCAAUUCCUUGGACAAUGCGAGAUGGUUUGGGUGUGUUCACUUGGAGCUCACAAUGCUUUUGUCCCCUUUGGAAAGGUCUUUCUUAAGUACCUUCCAAUGCAGAUUAAACAACUCUUCCUUGCCAGGUGGGUGAAGGCUGCCUUUGUGCUGGUGGGCUGUUCUAUGCACUCUUCUGUGGCCAUGCUCAGCGGUCAGCAGGAGACUCCACGAUCUCUGUGGAGUCAAUUUACAAUGGUUACCACUACUUCUGAACAUCUUCUUGGUUAAACACUAAAGGGAACACUCCCAUAUUUUAGCUAGCUAUGAUGGGCUUGGUUCUAUGUCAUUUUGUCUUUGGAGAUAUUUUAGUCCAAGUCUGAUGCUGUCCAGCUUUGAGCUCCACACUUUACCACCCACUCUCCACCCCAAGUACCUACAGGGCCAAGCUAAGUCAAGAUCUGACACAGGACAUUAAAGGACACAAAAGUCAUGAAUGUAUGGACUUCUCAGUGGUAUUUUCCCACCUAACUUUCUCUCACCCCUUUGAAUCUGCUAGGAUUGCUCGUAACAGAGCAUUACCAAAGGGUUUAAUGAAACCCUCCAGCACAAGAAGAGCACAGGCUUUGUAUGCU